UCCGUGGUGGUCCAGUGGUUAAGACACUGUGCUUCCAAUGCAGAGGGCACAGGUUCAAUCGCUGGUCAGGGAA
RNAcentral lists this transfer RNA (73 nucleotides) under Bos taurus (domestic cattle). It matches the Rfam family "tRNA". From Rfam's summary of the family: Transfer RNA (tRNA) molecules are approximately 80 nucleotides in length. Their secondary structure includes four short double-helical elements and three loops (D, anti-codon, and T loops). Lineage: Eukaryota; Metazoa; Chordata; Mammalia; Artiodactyla; Bovidae. RNAcentral also lists the same sequence under 2 other names. The record is from Rfam by way of RNAcentral.